This 213-nucleotide long non-coding RNA is filed under the name Elaeis guineensis (African oil palm). RNAcentral's name for it is "long non-coding RNA (EGUI_LNC037629)". Lineage: Eukaryota; Viridiplantae; Streptophyta; Magnoliopsida; Arecales; Arecaceae. The record is from RNAcentral.
UAUCUUGACAGUUACAAAUAUUUGUUCUCUCAAGACACUCUUCGAGAAGAAGAAGAUGUAGGAGGAUCUUGAUCUCUACACUAGAGAUUAUGAGAAGAACCCUUUCUUCUCUUUUCUUCCUAAAAUCCAUGCAUCAAAUCUCUACAAUAGAGAUGUAGAAAUUUUAUCUAACUUUUGGACAAAGAGAAGAGGAGACAUCCAUGUCUAAACGUG